Xenopus tropicalis (tropical clawed frog) is the source of this 855-nucleotide long non-coding RNA. RefSeq lists it as uncharacterized. The transcript is spliced from 4 exons. The record is from RefSeq and is a predicted model, not a curated record. NCBI's taxonomy places the organism in Eukaryota, Metazoa, Chordata, Amphibia, Anura, Pipidae.
GUCUGGCUCACACGUGGGAUUUCUGUGUUACUGUCUCUUCCGCUGCCAUCUGUCUGCUUGUGGGUUACUGGGUAUAUAGUAAGGAAGGAGUAUGGGGGUAGGUAGAGUCACUGGGUAUAUAGUAAGGAAGGAGUAUGGGGGUAGGUAGAGUCACUGGGUAUAUAGUAAGGAAGGAGUAUGGGGGUAGGAGUCACUGGGUAUAUAGUAAGGAAGGAGUAUGGAGGUAGGUAGAGUCACUGGGUAUAUAGUAAGGAAGGAGUAUGGGGGUAGGUAGAGUCACUGGGUAUAUAGUAAGGAAGGAGUAUGGGGGUAGGUAGAGUCACUGGGUAUAUAGUAAGGAAGGAGUAUGGGGGUAGGAGUCACUGGGUAUAUAGUAAGGAAGGAGUAUGGAGGUAGGUAGAGUCACUGGGUAUAUAGUAAGGAAGGAGUAUGGGGGGUAGGUAGAGUCACUGGGUAUAUAGUAAGGAAGGAGUAUGGGGGUAGGUAGAGUCACUGGGUAUAUAGUAAGGAAGGAGUAUGGGGGUAGGUAGAGUCACUGGGUAUAUAGUAAGGAAGGAGUAUGGGGGUAGGAGUCACUGGGUAUAUAGUAAGGAAGGAGUAUGGGGGUAGGUAGUCACUGGGUAUAUAGUAAGGAAGGAGUAUGGGGGUAGGUAGAGUCACUGGGUAUAUAGUAAGGAAGGAGUAUGGGGGGUAGGUAGAGUCACUGGGUAUAUAGUAAGGAAGGAGUAUGGGGGGGUAGAUAUUAGAGAUGAAGCCCUUGGGCUGAGAGUGUUGCACUGCUGGUUCCUACCAAGUACAUUCUGUAUCUCGGCGCUAUAGGAGCCCAAUAGGAGCCCAAUACUCACUUUCUCUUGU